RNAcentral lists this ribosomal RNA (459 nucleotides) under uncultured bacterium. RNAcentral's name for it is "partial 16S ribosomal RNA". It matches the Rfam family "Bacterial small subunit ribosomal RNA", at positions 338 to 795 of the family's 1533-position model. The record is from RNAcentral.
CCUACGGUGGGCAGCAGUGAGGAAUAUUGGUCAAUGGGCGGGAGCCUGAACCAGCCAAGCCGCGUGAGGGAAGAAGGUACAGCGUAUCGUAAACCUCUUUUGUCAGGGAACAAAGGCGGGGACUAGUCCCCGGAUGCGGGUACCUGAAGAAAAAGCAUCGGCUAACACCGUGCCAGCAGCCGCGGUAAUACGGAGGAUGCGAGCGUUAGCCGGCUUGAUUGGGUUUAACGGUGGCGCAGUGGGCCUGUUCAGUCAGCGGUAAAAGCCCGGGGCUCAACCCCGGCGCGCCGUUGAAACUGGCGGGCUGGAGUUGGAGAGAGGUACGCGGAAUGCGCGGUGUAGCGGUGAAAUGCUUAGAUAUCGCGCAGAACCCCGAUUGCGAAGGCAGCGUACCGGCUCCACACUGACGCUGAGGCACGAAAGCGUGGGUAUCGAACAGGAUUAGAUACCCCUGUAGUC